ACAAGGCAGCAAGAGCAGAGAGCAGCCAUUGCUGUGUCUGGCAGCAUAUAAAAAUUUGCUUAAAAACUGCUAUCACUCAAUCACAAUCUGAACCAGUGCGGAUUCCAAACCCCCAACCCAUUACUGGAGUUCCCAGCAUCCACUACGGACUACGAGAAAUAGAAUUAUCGAUUUGGAGCAAAGGAACGCUGGUAGCCGCAGCCGCUGGAACGUGGAUGUCUGACCAAUGGAAUGCAAGUCGGAAGAGGCUAAAGAGCACUACAGGUGUGCAUUGUUUAAAGGCAUCAAUUAAAUAGCAGGGUUUAAAAGCAAAUCAUGGGCAGUACAAUAUCCUUACUGUCUGAGGAAGCCGCUUAUUACUCACAGCGAGAGGCGGGGAAACGCGUUACAGGAUACCUCCUUCAUACACCUGUUCUCAUGAUUAUCGGUACCCACGCUACAUAUGGGAAUUCGGGACUCUGGUGCGCUGCAGGCUAAAAGCUGCUCACUACUAAAAACCUCUAAAAUUGGAGGUUGCAUAUAGUGCUGUUUUGGAAUUCUUUGAACUAAUAUCUAAUUGCGGGUAUCGUCUUUUUCCAAUAUAUUUAUAAAAAGUAUUUAAAGACUAUGGUAUGAUGUCAGGUGUUUUUAAUGU
This is a long non-coding RNA of Pseudophryne corroboree (corroboree frog), 634 nucleotides long. RefSeq lists it as uncharacterized. The record is from RefSeq and is a predicted model, not a curated record. Lineage: Eukaryota; Metazoa; Chordata; Amphibia; Anura; Myobatrachidae. The transcript has 3 exons.